This 515-nucleotide ribosomal RNA is filed under the name Babamunida hystrix. Its description in RNAcentral is "partial 16S ribosomal RNA". It matches the Rfam family "Bacterial large subunit ribosomal RNA", at positions 1831 to 2597 of the family's 2925-position model. Lineage: Eukaryota; Metazoa; Arthropoda; Malacostraca; Decapoda; Munididae. The record is from RNAcentral.
GUCUGUGUGAAGUUACAUGGAGUCUGACCUGCCCGUUGAAAAAUUUGAAAGGCCGCGGUAUAUUAACUGUGCAAAGGUAGCAUAAUCAUUAGUUUUUUAAUUGAAGGCUUGUAUGAAGGGUUGGACAAAGAAAAGUCUGUCUUUGGGUUUAGGUUUGAAUUUAACUUUUAAGUGAAAAGGCUUAAGUGUGUUUGGGGGACGAUAAGACCCUAUAAAUCUUUAUAAAAGUCUAUUUUAACUGAGAUUUAAUAAGGUAGUGAUAUUCAGAAAUGUAGGGUUUAUUUUGUUGGGGCGAUGAGAAUAUAGAUUAAUAACUGUUCUUGUGUAAAAUCAGAGUUAUUUGUGUGUAAGAGGAUCCUUCAUAGAGAUUAAAAGUUUAAGUUACUUUAGGGAUAACAGCGUUAUUUUUUUUGAGAGUUCAUAUCGAAAAAAAAGUUUGCGACCUCGAUGUUGAAUUAAAAUUUCUUUGUGGUGUAGCAGCUAUAAGAGAGAGUCUGUUCGACUUUUAAAAUUUU